UACCUUCAGACCAGGUGAUGCCUGGAGAUGCCUGGGCCAUUGUGGCCACUCACACCCAUUGGCAGCUGGGCUGUGGUUCCUGCAGCCAUUGAGAGUCUUCUCUUUCUCAUGGCUCUCUGAAAAAUCUGUGUUGGGCACAAAAGAGGUGUGACAAUGAUAAUGGAGAAAGAAGAUUGAACCCAAUGUCAAGCAACAGCAGGAUGCUAGGGAGAUGAGAGUCCCAACUCUAAACUGGGAGGUGGGAGGCAAGAGCAGCAGCAUUCAGCACCUGCAUACUGACAGGAAAAAAUCACUUGUGCUCCCCAAGUUUAUUAUUAUUUUUUUUUUCUUGAAUUGAACUGACUUCACCCAGGAACUGUGGGCACAGUUAAGUAAGUGGUGUCAGUGGUGCAGCAGGCAGCCGUGGAGAAGCAUGCGGUGGAAGGCCUGUGCAGAGGCUUCCAGAAAGAAGUGCUCCACAAGGGUGCAGACUUCUUGGGAAACGUAGUCUCCCCACAAGCCCUUAUUCAGAAUUCACCUAUUCCCAGAGCAGCAGCAUGUUCUAUUGCUCUGUUCCAGGAACCUGUCACAAGAAGCCAAAAAUGACCAUGUGCUGUGCAGAACUAGCUUCUGUUGCACCUGCUUAAAGAGGU
This 632-nucleotide long non-coding RNA is filed under the name Anas platyrhynchos platyrhynchos (common mallard). Its description in RNAcentral is "lncRNA (ENSAPLG00000030576.1)". Lineage: Eukaryota; Metazoa; Chordata; Aves; Anseriformes; Anatidae. The record is from RNAcentral.